This 701-nucleotide small RNA is filed under the name Arabidopsis thaliana (thale cress). Its description in RNAcentral is "ATSL287370". The record is from RNAcentral. Lineage: Eukaryota; Viridiplantae; Streptophyta; Magnoliopsida; Brassicales; Brassicaceae.
UUUUUUGACGGGAAAUAGAUUUACAAGGGAUUUUAAAAGGGUUUUAAAAGAUUUACAAGAGAUUUUAAAACAUUUACAAGAGAUUUUAAAAGGGUUUUAAAAGAUUUACAAGGGAUUUUAAAAGAGUUUUAAAAAAUUUACAAUGGAUUUUAAAAGGGUUUUAAAAGAUUUACAAGGGCUUUAAAAGAUUUACAAAUGUUUUUUAAAGAUUUUUAAUUGGUUUAAAAUUGUUUUAAAAGGGUUUUAAAAUAUUUACAAGUGAUUUUAAAAGGGUUUUAAAAUAUUUACAAGGGAUUUUAAAAGGGUUUUAAAAUAUUUACAAGAGAUUUUAAAGAGUUUUAAAAGAUUUACAAAGGUUUUUAAAAGAUUUUUAAAGGGUUUAAAAGUGUUUUAAAAGAUUUACAAGGGAUUUUUAAUGGGUUUUAAAGUUUUACAAAUGAUUUUAAAAGGGUUUUAAAAGAUGUAUAAGGGUUCUGAAAAGAUUUUUAUAGAAUUUACAAGAAGACCCUUUAAAAACUCUUGUAACUCUUUUUAAAAACUUUUUAAAAUUAUUUGUAAAUCUUUUAAAACCCUUUUAAAAUCUCUUGUACAUCUUUUAAAACCCUUUUAAAAUCCCUUGUAAAUCUAUUUUCCGCCAAAAAAAAAUUAUAAGGAUUUUUAAAAGCAUUUUUUUGGCUGAGAAAAAAUUCGUUACAAAAACA